RNAcentral lists this unclassified non-coding RNA (632 nucleotides) under Hevea brasiliensis (rubber tree). The record is from RNAcentral. Lineage: Eukaryota; Viridiplantae; Streptophyta; Magnoliopsida; Malpighiales; Euphorbiaceae.
CAAAGGAUCGAUAACGGCAUUGGCCUUCAGUACAUUAGGUCUUAUAUCAGCAUCUGAGGAUGGUACUGUCCGCCUCUGGGAUGCUAUUAGUUGGGUGACUAUACGAAGAUUUAACUACCAAAAAGGGGCAGUAACUAAUCUUGCAUUGAUUCCGCAUUCUUCACUGCUUACUUCAUCAAACCAUCAAAGAGUUCCCUAUCAGAUCCGUCUUUCUUUGCUCGAAAAGUGUCCUCAGCCAGAAGCGAACUCAUCCAAGGGAACAGUCGCUCUCCUUCACUCGUGUUCUUCCCUGAAGGACCAUCAAACCUCUUUGGAUUUCAGAACCAAUUCAUUGAACCACCAAAUAUUUGAGAUGGAGGAAGCACAUACACCUGCAGCCCUGCAGAUGAAGUUAGAAACAAGCAUAGACAACCGGAUGUGGGCUACAAGAAUGACAAAACAUGUCAUGGAAAUAAACAAGCAUUUACAGUCUCGGCUGCUAGAUUUGAUGCAGAACCGAUUGUUAUGGAGUGCUGAAGAUGAUUCACCCACUGCAAGAAAGAGUAAGAAGCUUAAAAUUGGAAGUCCAUCACUCGAGGGAGAAAAGCUAUAGCAAUCCUCCAAUUAGUUCCAUGAUUUUUAUGCAGCUAAAG